This 619-nucleotide ribosomal RNA is filed under the name uncultured bacterium. RNAcentral describes it as "bacterial SSU rRNA". It matches the Rfam family "Bacterial small subunit ribosomal RNA", at positions 338 to 951 of the family's 1533-position model. The record is from RNAcentral.
CCUACGGGAGGCAGCAGUGGGGAAUUUUGGACAAUGGGCGCAAGCCUGAUCCAGCAAUGCCGCGUGAGUGAAGAAGGCCUUCGGGUUGUAAAGCUCUUUUGUCAGGGAAGAAACGGUCUACUCUAAUACAGUGGGCUAAUGACGGUACCUGAAGAAUAAGCACCGGCUAACUACGUGCCAGCAGCCGCGGUAAUACGUAGGGUGCAAGCGUUAAUCGGAAUUACUGGGCGUAAAGCGUGCGCAGGCGGUUAUAUAAGUCAGAUGUGAAAUCCCCGGGCUCAACCUGGGAACUGCAUUUGAGACUGUAUGGCUAGAGUGUGUCAGAGGGGGGUAGAAUUCCACGUGUAGCAGUGAAAUGCGUAGAUAUGUGGAGGAAUACCGAUGGCGAAGGCAGCCCCCUGGGAUAACACUGACGCUCAUGCACGAAAGCGUGGGGAGCAAACAGGAUUAGAUACCCUGGUAGUCCACGCCCUAAACGAUGUCUACUAGUUGUCGGGACUUAAUUGUCUUGGUAACGCAGCUAACGCGUGAAGUAGACCGCCUGGGGAUACGGUCGCAAGAUUAAAACUUAAAUGAAAUUGACGGCUGAGACAGACGACGACGACGACGAGGGAGGAGG